CUUUGCAAAUACAUUCCACAGGUUCUUCUGAAUACUUAAAUGAAUCAGUAGGGGGAGAUAUACCAAAGUGUUCUGUUCUAAAAAGUGGCCUAAAGCACAGGUUCUCAACCUGGGGUACGCCGGAAGCUGGCCUGCUGUGCAGUAAGGCAGAGUAGGCACCUGCUUACUUGGACAACAGGUGCCUACUCUGCCCAAAUGUGCAGUGUCCAGAGAGGAG
Molecule: non-coding RNA, 217 nt
Organism: Pelobates cultripes (western spadefoot toad)
Lineage: Eukaryota; Metazoa; Chordata; Amphibia; Anura; Pelobatidae
Source: the annotation of a GenBank genome assembly